UACGUAGGGUGCGAGCGUUGUCCGGAAUUAUUGGGCGUAAAGAGCUCGUAGGCGGUCUGUCGCGUCGGUUGUGAAAACUCGGGGCUUAACCCCGGGCCUGCAGUGGGUACGGGCAGACUAGAGUGCGGUAGGGGAGACUGGAAUUCCUGGUGUAGCGGUGAAAUGCGCAGAUAUCAGGAGGAACACCGGUGGCGAAGGCGGGUCUCUGGGCCGUAACUGACGCUGAGGAGCGAAAGCGUGGGGAGCGAACAGG
This 253-nucleotide ribosomal RNA is filed under the name uncultured bacterium. RNAcentral's name for it is "partial 16S ribosomal RNA". It matches the Rfam family "Bacterial small subunit ribosomal RNA", at positions 524 to 776 of the family's 1533-position model. The record is from RNAcentral.